UCGGAGUGGCCGAGCGGUCUAAGGCGCCAGACUCAAGAGUGUUCUUUCUAUUGCAACUACAUUUCAAUUAUGAUUUGAAACGAAUAAAUUGUCAUA
RNAcentral lists this transfer RNA (96 nucleotides) under Schistosoma mansoni. Lineage: Eukaryota; Metazoa; Platyhelminthes; Trematoda; Strigeidida; Schistosomatidae. The record is from RNAcentral.